CAGUUCGGAUUGAAGGCUGAAAUUCGCCUUCAUGAAGCUGGAAUUGCUAGUAAUGGCAGGUCAGCAUACUGCCGUGAAUACGUUCCCGGGCCUUGUACACACCGCCCGUCACACCAUGAGAGUUGGAAAUACCCGAAGCCUGUGAGCUAACUGUAAAGAGGCAGCAGUCGAAGGUAGAGCCAAUGAUUGGGGUGAAGUCGUAACAAGGUAAC
Molecule: ribosomal RNA, 212 nt
Filed under: uncultured bacterium
Lineage: Bacteria
Description: partial 16S ribosomal RNA
Rfam family: Bacterial small subunit ribosomal RNA
Source: RNAcentral